CUGAGAGGACGACCAGGCACACUGGAACUGAGACACGGUCCAGACUCCUACGGGUGGCAGCAGUGGGGAAUAUUGCGCAAUGGGCGCAGCCUGACGCAGCGACGCCGCGUGGGGGAUGAAGGCCUUCGGGUUGUAAACCUCUUUCAUUAGGGAAGAAGCGAAAGUGAUGGUACCUGCGGAAGAAGCACCGGCUAACUACGUGCCGGCCGCCGCGGUAAUACGUAGGGUGCGCCGUUGUCCGGAUUUAUUGGGCGUAAAGAGCUCGUAUGGGGUUAGUCGGGUCGUAUGUGAAAACCCGGAGCUUAACUCCGGGCCUGCAUUCGAUACGGGCUGACUAGAGUGUUGCAAGGGAGAUGGGAAUUCC
Molecule: ribosomal RNA, 364 nt
Filed under: uncultured bacterium
Lineage: Bacteria
Description: bacterial SSU rRNA
Rfam family: Bacterial small subunit ribosomal RNA
Source: RNAcentral